UACGUAGGGUGCGAGCGUUGUCCGGAAUUACUGGGCGUAAAGAGCUCGUAGGUGGUUGUCGCGUCGUCUGUGAAAUUCCGGGGCUUAACCUCGGGCGUGCAGGCGAUACGGGCAAUACUUGAGUGCUGUAGGGGAGACUGGAAUUCCUGGUGUAGCGGUGAAAUGACGCAGAUAUCAGGAGGAACACCAAUGGCGAAGGCAGGUCUCUGGGCAGUCACUGACGCUGAGGAGCGAAAGCAUGGGUAGCGAACAGGAUUA
RNAcentral lists this ribosomal RNA (258 nucleotides) under uncultured prokaryote. Its description in RNAcentral is "partial 16S ribosomal RNA". It matches the Rfam family "Bacterial small subunit ribosomal RNA", at positions 524 to 780 of the family's 1533-position model. The record is from RNAcentral.